Molecule: ribosomal RNA, 465 nt
Filed under: uncultured bacterium
Lineage: Bacteria
Description: partial 16S ribosomal RNA
Rfam family: Bacterial small subunit ribosomal RNA
Source: RNAcentral
GAUGAACGCUGGCGGCGUGCUUAAUACAUGCAAGUCGAACGGAAAGGCGCUGCUUUCGGUGUACUCGAGUGACGAACGGGCGGGUAACUCAUACGUGGAUUGCCCUGCUCUUCGGCUUAAACCACUUCAACUAGGCGUAACUACUGCCAGGUGCCAUUUUUAGCGGGAUGGUUGGAAAGUGAUUUAGGUUUUGGAUGAGCUUGCUGCGUAUCAGCUUGCUGGUGGGGUUAUGGCCUACCAAGGCGGCGACGGGUAGCCGGCCUGAGAGGGUGGACGGCCACAUUGGGACCGAGGUGCGGCCGAGACACGUAAGGGAGGCAGCAGUGGGGAAUAUUGCACAAGGGGCGCAAGCCUGAUGAAGCGAGGCCGCGUGGGGGAUGACGGCCUUCGGGUUGUAAACUCCUUUCGCUAGGGACGAAGCUUUUUGUGACGGUACCUAGAUAAGAAGCACCGGCUAACUACGUG